UCUCCGUUGGUGAACCAGCGGAGGGAUCAUUACAGGACUCGCAAGACUCCUUCACCCUGUGAACCUCACUACAAGCACGUUGCUUCGGCGGGUGUCCCGGCGGGGGUUUUCCCUCGCCGGGGCGCACAGCCCGCCGGCAGCCUACUAUACUCGGUCUCUUUGCGUUGGCAUUUCGAGAAAAAACAAACAAGUUAAAACUUUCAACAACGGAUCUCUUGGUUCUG
Molecule: unclassified non-coding RNA, 224 nt
Filed under: plant metagenome
Description: partial contains small subunit ribosomal RNA, internal transcribed spacer 1, and 5.8S ribosomal RNA
Source: RNAcentral